AACGAACGCUGGCGGCAGGCCUCAAACAUGCAAGUCUAGGGGGUGUAGCAAUACAUCACCGGCGGACGGGUGCGUAACGCGUGGGAAUAUACCUAUCGGUUCGGAACAACUGAGGGAAACUUCAGCUAAUACCGAAUACGUCCUAACGGAGAAAGAUUUAUCGUCGAUUGAUUAGCCCGCGUUCGAUUAGCUAGUUGGUGGGGUAACGGCCCACCAAGGCGACGAUCGAUAGCUGUUCUGAGAGGAAGAUCAGCCACACUGGGACUGAGACACGGCCCAGACUCCUACGGGAGGCAGCAGUUGGGAAUCUUGGACAAUGGGGGAAACCCUGAUCCAGCCAUGCCGCGUGAGUGAUGAAGGCCUUCGGGUUGUUAAAACUACUUUCGCGCACGACGAUAAUGACGGUAGUGCGAGAAGAAGCUCCGGCUAACUUCGUGCCAGCAGCCGCGGUAAU
Molecule: ribosomal RNA, 454 nt
Filed under: uncultured bacterium
Lineage: Bacteria
Description: bacterial SSU rRNA
Rfam family: Bacterial small subunit ribosomal RNA
Source: RNAcentral